CAUUUAAAGAGUGCGUAAUAGCUCACUAGUCGAGUGACACUGCGCCGAAAAUGUACCGGGGCUAAACAUAUUACCGAAGCUGUGGAUUGUCCUUUGGACAAUGGUAGGAGAGCGUUCUAAGGGCGUUGAAGCAUGAUCGUAAGGACAUGUGGAGCGCUUAGAAGUGAGAAUGCCGGUGUGAGUAGCGAAAGACGGGUGAGAAUCCCGUCCACCGAUUGACUAAGGUUUCCAGAGGAAGGCUCGUCCGCUCUGGGUUAGUCGGGUCCUAAGCUGAGGCCGACAGGCGUAGGCGAUGGAUAACAGGUUGAUAUUCCUGUACCACCUAUAAUCGUUUUAAUCGAUGGGGGGACGCAGUAGGAUAGGCGAAGCGUGCGAUUGGAUUGCACGUCUAAGCAGUAAGGCUGAGUAUUAGGCAAAUCCGGUACUCGUUAAGGCUGAGCUGUGAUGGGGAGAAGACAUUGUGUCUUCGAGUCGUUGAUUUCACACUGCCGAGAAAAGCCUCUAGAUAGAAAAUAGGUGCCCGUACCGCAAACCGACACAGGUAGUCAAGAUGAGAAUUCUAAGGUGAGCGAGCGAACUCUCGUUAAGGAACUCGGCAAAAUGACCCCGUAACUUCGGGAGAAGGGGUGCUCUUUAGGGUUAACGCCCAGAAGAGCCGCAGUGAAUAGGCCCAAGCGACUGUUUAUCAAAAACACAGGUCUCUGCUAAACCGUAAGGUGAUGUAUAGGGGCUGACGCCUGCCCGGUGCUGGAAGGUUAAGAGGAGUGGUUAGCUUCUGCGAAGCUACGAAUCGAAGCCCCAGUAAACGGCGGCCGUAACUAUAACGGUCCUAAGGUAGCGAAAUUCCUUGUCGGGUAAGUUCCGACCCGCACGAAAGGCGUAACGAUUUGGGCACUGUCUCAACG
Molecule: ribosomal RNA, 905 nt
Filed under: Staphylococcus aureus
Lineage: Bacteria; Bacillati; Bacillota; Bacilli; Caryophanales; Staphylococcaceae
Description: partial 23S ribosomal RNA
Rfam family: Bacterial large subunit ribosomal RNA
Source: RNAcentral